Molecule: ribosomal RNA, 387 nt
Filed under: uncultured Oscillibacter sp.
Lineage: Bacteria; Bacillati; Bacillota; Clostridia; Eubacteriales; Oscillospiraceae
Description: bacterial SSU rRNA
Rfam family: Bacterial small subunit ribosomal RNA
Source: RNAcentral
UGGGGAAUAUUGGGGCAAUGGACGCAAGUCUGACCCAGCAACGCCGCGUGAAGGAAGAAGGCUUUCGGGUUGUAAACUUCUUUUGUCAGGGACGAUAGUGACGGUACCUGACGAAUAAGCCACGGCUAACUACGUGCCAGCAGCCGCGGUAAUACGUAGGUGGCAAGCGUUGUCCGGAUUUACUGGGUGUAAAGGGCGCGUAGGCGGGAUAGCAAGUCAGGAGUGAAAUCCAUGGGCUCAACCCAUGAACUGCUUUUGAAACUGUUAUUCUUGAGUAUCGGAGAGGCAGGCGGAAUUCCUUGUGUAGCGGUGAAAUGCGUAGAUAUAAGGAAGAACACCAGUGGCGAAGGCGGCCUGCUGGACGACAACUGACGCUGAGGCGCGAAG